RNAcentral lists this long non-coding RNA (4776 nucleotides) under Homo sapiens (human). Its description in RNAcentral is "non-protein coding lnc-ZBTB20-1:2". The stretch from base 3184 to 3276 matches the Rfam family "mir-568 microRNA precursor family". Lineage: Eukaryota; Metazoa; Chordata; Mammalia; Primates; Hominidae. The record is from RNAcentral.
AGCUCUAGGGCAGAGAACAAAAGAAUUGCAAAAUGUAUUCAGCACCAAACAAUGCUAAACCAAGAAACAUCCAAUCACAAAACUAGGAAGUUUGGCAAGAAGUGGUUAGAGAAAUCUCUGGGCUUUUCCAUGGGCAGGGUCGACAGACUCUCUUUUCAGUGAUUUCUGGCUCUGAGAAACCUCUUUACUCACUAGAAAAGAACUUUAUUUAAAUGGCCAAUUUUGUUCCUCAGAAAAAGAAAUUAAAAAAAAAGAAAAAUAGGAUACUGAAGACAGAACCAUGUGACUUGGUGACAAACAAAAGGAGGGGUGCACUAGAAUUUCAAUAGGCUCCCUAAUUCCAUAGAAAAAGCAAAGCAACCCAAUGCCUCCUGAGCCUGCAGUGCAUGAAGAGAGUGCUUGAGCUGACCCAGCCACCAGGCCUUCUGGGGCUAGACAUAACUUCCCACUGGAACAGCAGCAGCCUCUUUCCCCUCUUUGUGUUUUCAUGAAGAAAACGGCUGUUCUCUUAGGUAGCCAGGAAAUAGAUUACAUGGGGCAAACUUUCAAAAGCAAUCUCUACCCUGGUGCUCAGGCUACAUACAGAGGCAGAAAAGGGGCACGGAAGAGCCCUUGCUCUUGAGAGAGAGUAUUUUCAUAUUCCCAAGGGCUUUCCGUGUAGAGUUGCUAUUUCUGAUAUCACUUAAACCUUUACAAGAAAAAAGGCUGUGGUGACUCAGUGUUCCUAUAAAUUCAGAAUGUGGAAACUACUAAUCCAAAGCAUCAUUUCUAGCACUGAGUAUCAAGACGAUCAGCCUGACCAAAAUAUUGCAAAGAGUUUUCUAAGUCUCUGAAGAUUUUUUUCUCCUUGAACACUGAGUCUAUAGCAGUCAGCAAUGUACCUUAGCCGAUCCCUGGGAAUGGUUAUGGAACAGUAGGGCUUGUUUCCAUCCUUUUUAGAGUGAAGAGAUAGAAAAUUAGGGCUACCUAGUGUGGGUUCUUUUUCAGAACUAUGUAUUUUCUCCUCACUGCAUGAUGGGUAAAAAUGCCCUGGGUUGAAACAAGAAACAUUAUCUUUCCACACCACUGACUAAAACACCUGCCAGUGGUUUCUUUAGGCUCCACCUUUUGCUCCGUAAACUGUAGACUUUCAGACUGAAAUCUAAUCUUAAGUGACCUCAAUUAAGGUAUUUUCACAAAAGGCUACUUAUAGUGUAGCAUUAUUGCCUUAAAUCAGAAAGCCCUGGGAAGAGGAUAAAAGAUAUAGAAAUGAGAAGGCUCUGAAGUUAUAGGCAUUUCUUGCUGUUUAAUAGUUACAUUAUCACAAAAACAAGCCCUAUUCAUGAUUGAGGACUAUGGAAAUAGUGACUUCUUGAGGAGGCACCAAACUUUCCUAGAACUGGGUACUCUCAGAUAGUGGCUGCUAUUUCCUAUUCUAUUUCAGUGACGUAGGUUGGGGCUGAAUGUAAAAUAGACAUCAUAUUACUAAAUAGAAUCCUAUAAAAUGCAAUCACAGGUGCCCGGGAGUACUAGUUUUAAACAUUUCCUUAACAAGGAGAACAAUCCAGCAAAAAGCUUUCUUUCUCUAUACAGUGUAUAUCUCUAAACUUUUUUUCCUCAGUUUUAGAGAACAUCUGUUUUAUCUGGUGGUUCUUUGUUUGAAUGCAAACUCAUAACUUUCAAGUCUCCGGUGCAAGAGCAUAAUCUACAGAUCAUGGGCAAAAUCUAGCCACAGUCCUGAGAGUCCAGGCUUCUGGGAUGCCCAGCUGGGUAUAAAAGUCCCUACUAACCCUGUUUCAAAUUCAGAGGUUUCUUUGGUUUAGAAUGCCUCAAUGAGAUUUUGAUACAUCCAAGAGAGAAAAAAAAAAAAAAAAUUUUUUUUUUUUUUCCAAAAAAAGUAAAACCAGAGUUUCAGGAACUCUUUAUCCACAGAGGCUAAUAGAAAUAGAAUUUGGAAAUAUCUAUCUGAGACAUUUUUAAAUCUGAGGAAUCCGUAAAAUGGUGGCUCUUGGGUAUCCAGCCCUCAGGAUCUCCAUUUACCUGUUAAAGUGAGGAUUUGGUGCCUUUCUUCUUUAGUUGGGCCAUCAAGAAAACUUCAGAAAUCAGGCAUUCUGUCUUCCUAUACAAUAAAUAUUUUCAGAUCAUAUUUUCAGAUAAGAGUCUUCAGCUUCCCUCAGCUAUUCAACCCAAUGCAUGGAAAGCCUCAGUUGAAUAAACUUUUCCACCAUCCCAGGUGCCUGAAACUAGUGUCCUUCUUCACUUCUACAUUCAGGACAAAAUGAAGUCAGGUUUUUAAAACCUCAGUAUAAAAGACCCCCUCACACUGGUCCAAUAUGAAGACUUCUCAGCGUGAACACUGGGGAAUUCCUUCCUUUCAUCUUUCCUAAUAGAUUGUUGUUUUCUAAUCCCAUCCCAUUCUGCUGGAUGCAUUCCUGAAGAUCUCUGGUGCUGAAGGGCCUCGAGUUCCUUUCAGAGACUGUAUUUGACACACUUUAGGUACACACAAACGAAUGGUAUCACAUGCAAUAUUUUAAUGGAGCAAUGGGAGAGGCUCUUUGAAAUGGGGUUUGCAUCUUUUUGUAACAUUUUGAUUUCUCUGGUGCCUUAUUCCUACUUGAUGCUGGCACUCACAUACCCACAAGAAGCUGACACAGAAGUCAGCCUUAGGCGUGGGGACAUAUGGGUGAUGUUUGAGCAUGCAGGGGCCAUGGGGAGUUUGGUGUCAGUUGGUGGAGAAGGGACUAGAUGGCAUCUCUUAGCCGAGGCCAACAGGAACUGCACAAGUCCAUUAUAGUCAAAGUUAGCAAUUUUGAUACGUAAACACAAUACUUCAUUCUUCCUCAUCUGAGCUUUCCUUCCUUCUUCCUUUUCUAUCUCUACCUUCUCAUAAAGGUGCUGCUGCUGCUGCUAAGGUGCCCGGAGUCCAGAAUGUCCAUUAAUCACUCAGGCACGAGCCUGGCACUGCCACGUCAGCCCCCAGCAUGACCAAACCCAGGUUUCUCUUGCUUGGGGCUGAGAACUGUCAGAUUUUUCUCAUCAAAAAUGUUUUCCAAGGAAUCAGUGGAUUACAGUUUUUCUGCAUUGAAAAUGCACUUUAAAAAAUAAAUUAAAGCUCCAGACUGUUUAAAAUAUACAGAGGGAGCAGGGGAAAGUUAAGCAUGUGCUAGUGUCUGAACCCAGUUCAGUUUAUCUCCAGUUGAAACGAUAUACACUAUAUUAUGUAUAAAUGUAUACACACUUCCUAUAUGUAUCCACAUAUAUAUAGUGUAUAUAUUAUACAUGUAUAGGUGUGUAUAUGUGCAUAUAUACACACAUGCACAUAACAAAAUCAGAUGCUCAUUACAAAUCCAGAUGCUCAUUACAAAACCAGAUGCUACACAAACAGCAGCAGAGGAAACAAGGUUGGACUCUUGCAACAGAUCACAAAAAAUAAAAACAGCUACUUGCAGUGACUUUGGUCAUUUCUGUAUGUUCAUAAAGAAUGGAUUGUAACAAGGAAAAAAAGGAACAGUGUUAGUGAAAAAGGAAAAAUGGGCGAAACCAUCUUGAUCCGAUGCGAAUGCAGUAAUGUUCUAUAUACCAUUUCAUCAGUUAUUUCUUUUAGUCAUGUUGAUUUGAUUUCAGUUUCUGGCUAUGAAAAACAUUUUUAAACUCGUCACCCACAACAAACUGAACAAAACUACUACAGUGAAAGCCCUUUUCAGUGAAAGAUGUCAGAAACCUCAAAACCUUUGGCCUGACUCAGAACUACCAUGUGAAAAUCAGUACUCUCUUAAUGUUUGAAAUAAAAACUGAAAAAAAAAACAAAAAAACAAAAAACCUUUUUUGAAGCACCUUAACGUGGCCAUCCAUUUGAGAAGUGGGUGCCACUUUUUUCUUUGAGCACCUUAUUGAUGUGUUUGCUAUCUGCUGUCUUUCUGUUACCUGUUGGCUGAAUGGCUAGCUGUUAACAUAUACAUGUGCACAGAAGAGAUAUCUGGGCAUGUAUGUUCUCAAUGAAGUUUACUGUGGUGACUGCUGAAAGGUGAACCCAUUUCCUGAUUUUCCCGCCGCAGUGUUGUGAUAAGAUUCGAAGAAACCUUUUUCCCUGCACAGAAAUGUUACACACUGUAUGUUUAUGUGACCUAAAACAUACACACAUGCACACACACAUACAUAUCCAUUCAUUCAUUCAUUCAAGUGGUGUUUCCAGUGUCUGUGUGUCACUGUUUAUGCAGUUUCCAUUUCCCAGUGAAUUAUGAGUGGAGGGCAACUUUUCUAACCAGAUUGUCUUUUCAGAACAAAGACCUGGGAAUUGAGGAAGAGUUUGGAAAGAGGGAGAGGCAAGGAAAGAGAGCUUUAAAUUGAAAGGUUAAUUUCCUAAGAGGAACCUGGGCUGAAUGACUGCAGUGUUAUACCCUCCAAUCUUUGCAGGUGGGCAUGGAACACUGCUUGUAUCACUCUGUGCACGGUAUAAAUCCAUAUAUCCACAAAAACACACAUCCAUCCAUCAACAUAUACAUGGUUUGGGAUGAGCAGGUCAAUAGUUUUGAGAGGGAGUUUGUUCCUUUUUUUUUCUCAUUAUACUCUUAAAUUGUUGUCAGUUAUCAAACAAACAAACAGAAAAAUUGUUUGGAAAAACCUUGCAUACGCCUUUUCUAUCAAGUGCUUUAAAAUAUAGACUAAAUACACACAUCCUGCCAGUUUUUUCUUACAGUGACAGUAUCCUUACCUGCCAUUUAAUAUUAGCCUCGUAUUUUUCUCACGUAUAUUUACCUGUGACUUGUAUUUGUUAUUUAAACAGGAAAAAAAACAUUC